This 484-nucleotide ribosomal RNA is filed under the name uncultured bacterium. Its description in RNAcentral is "partial 16S ribosomal RNA". It matches the Rfam family "Bacterial small subunit ribosomal RNA", at positions 30 to 507 of the family's 1533-position model. The record is from RNAcentral.
CGAACGCUGGCGGCGUGCUUAACACAUGCACGUCGAACGCUGAAGACCUGGCUUUUGUUGGGUUGGAUGAGUGGCGAACGGGUGAGUAACACGUGAGUAACCUGCCCUCUUCUUUGGGAUAACGCCCGGAAACGGGUGCUAAUACUGGAUAUUCACUGAUCUUCGCAUGGGGGUUGGUGGAAAGGUUUGUUCUGGUGGGGGAUGGGCUCGCGGCCUAUCAGCUUGUUGGUGGGGUGAUGGCCUACCAAGGCUUUGACGGGUAGCCGGCCUGAGAGGGUGACCGGUCACAUUGGGACUGAGAUACGGCCCAGACUCCUACGGGAGGCAGCAGUGGGGAAUAUUGCACAAUGGGCGAAAGCCUGAUGCAGCGACGCCGCGUGAGGGAUGGAGGCCUUCGGGUUGUAAACCUCUUUCGCUCAUGGUCAAGCCGCAACUGUGGGUUGUGGUGAGGGUAGUGGGUAAAGAAGCGCCGGCUAACUACGUG